UGCCAGCCGCCGCGGUAAUACGAAGGGGGCAAGCGUUGUUCGGAAUCACUGGGCGUAAAGCGCACGUAGGCGGAUCGUUAAGUCAGGGGUGAAAUCCCGAGGCUCAACCUCGGAACUGCCUUUGAUACUGGCGAUCUUUGAGUCCGGGAGAGGUUAGCGGAAUACCGAGUGUAGAGGUGAAAUUCGUAGAUAUUCGGUGGAACACCAGUGGCGAAGGCGGCUAACUGGACUGAUACUGACGCUGAGGUGCGAAAGCGUGGGUAGCGAACGGGAUUAGAUA
RNAcentral lists this ribosomal RNA (280 nucleotides) under uncultured bacterium. Its description in RNAcentral is "partial 16S ribosomal RNA". It matches the Rfam family "Bacterial small subunit ribosomal RNA", at positions 506 to 784 of the family's 1533-position model. The record is from RNAcentral.